GGAGGGCUGGCCGAGUGGUUGAAGGCGCUGGUCUUGAAAACCAGUAGAGGUUUACCCCUCUCCGGGGUUCGAAUCCCCGGCCCUCCGCCA
Molecule: transfer RNA, 90 nt
Filed under: Gammaproteobacteria bacterium
Lineage: Bacteria; Pseudomonadati; Pseudomonadota; Gammaproteobacteria
Description: tRNA-Ser
Rfam family: tRNA
About the family: Transfer RNA (tRNA) molecules are approximately 80 nucleotides in length. Their secondary structure includes four short double-helical elements and three loops (D, anti-codon, and T loops).
Source: RNAcentral